Molecule: long non-coding RNA, 821 nt
Organism: Zingiber officinale
Lineage: Eukaryota; Viridiplantae; Streptophyta; Magnoliopsida; Zingiberales; Zingiberaceae
Exons: 5
Source: RefSeq, a predicted model, not a curated record
AGGUUUUUGUAAUUUAAUUUCCACCCUCUAGGGUUUUUUUUUUAAUUCAGUUUUCGAUGCCUAAUUCCACCCUGCUUCUUUCUGACAUACAUUUACACAUUGUUUCAGAGGAUGCGAUGUGCUUAUUUUAGAUACUGGAUUGGGAAGUUCAGAGAAUCAAGCAAGGGUCAAGGAGUUGCUUCAUGUGGAGGAAUCAAAACUAGAGGAGGAUGAGGGAAAUACCACUCCAGCAGUGAGAUGGGUUCGAGAUGAUAAAUAUGAUUGCAUCCGAUUAAAGCAUUGCAAGGUUGUGACAAAAAUUGAUUGGCAUCGGAAAGGAGACUAUUUCACUACUGUCGUUCCUAGUGAUAUCCUAAUUAUGAAUUUUAGUUGUACUUAUUUUUAGUCAUUCCUAGUGCCUAUUUUAUAUCUCAGUUUUGUUUCUUUCUUUUUUCUAAUACACACUGACAAAUUGGAAAUAUAUAAAAAUCAUGACAUUAUACCUAGUUACCUAGCCUUUGAGGCUGGAAUCAGGAUGAAACCUAAAGUGCCCUGAAAAGUUUAGGCAUACCAAAUUCUCUCAGUUUAAUGACAGAGGUGUUUUAGAUUGUAAAUUUCAUCCGAGGCAGCCAUGGCUAUUCACAGCUGGAGCAGAUUCUGUCAUUAAACUGUAUUGCCACUAAUGAUAGAUUCUCCAGGAAACUUUGAAGAAUCUCCUCGAGUCAAGAUACGUUGUGACAAAAAUUGAUUGGCAUCGGAAAGGAGACUAUUUCACUACUGUCGUUCCUAGUGAUAUCCUAAUUAUGAAUUUUAGUUGUACUUAUUUUUAGUCAUUCCUAAUG